UGUUCUCGAUUGAUCCGGCCUAGUCCUUCAGGGAGCGAAGGAAGACUCCGGCAGUCCGGCUCGAGGCUGCCUCCGCCGCGCCCGACUCGUUCUUCUCCGGCAGUCCGGCUCUCCCCCGGUUCGUCUCUCUCUCUCUCUCUCUCUCUCUCUCUCUCUCUCUCUCUCUCUCUCUCUCUCUCUCUCUCUCUCUCUCUCUCUCUCUCUCUCUGCGUUGGGCGGACGGCGCGGCAUCGAAGGUUUGCGUCAGGACACGCGGGGGCGAAACGGCGUCGGGGAGUCGAGCAGGCCGUAUCCUCGGAGGCUCAGACCCGGCGUUGACAGGAUCUAAGGCGGCGGCCACCCUCAGAUCGGGCGUCCCGAGAAUCAAGCCGGCGGUUCCUAUCCCCUUCGGUCGGGCUAUGGGAGAAACUACCGAAGCCUCUGCAACUGGCCUGGAUUCAUUCAUCGGAACUUAUACGAGUCCCAGCUGGUCAGGCCUCCCGACUGAUAUCCUCCUCAGCAUCCUGCAGUGCCUUGAGCUCCCACAAGCAAUUGUUUUUGCCUUAGUCUGCAAGUCAUGGCGCUCAGCAGCAACUGUUGCUGGCAUCCCACAUUCUGGCACACCAUGGCUCAUGUCUUGGCGGGACCUCCUUGAAGAAAGGAAAGACCAGGUUAAGGGCAGCUCAGCCGUGACCUGCAAGUUCCGCCAUCUCCUUGACGUUGACAAGGUUUAUGAUGGCCAUGUUUGUUUUAGAUUCCUGCAUCUUCUGCUACUCAAACUAGCUCGAAAAGCUACAAUCUGCCCCAAACAGCUUUGCUUUUCC
Panicum virgatum (switchgrass) is the source of this 803-nucleotide long non-coding RNA. RefSeq lists it as uncharacterized. Lineage: Eukaryota; Viridiplantae; Streptophyta; Magnoliopsida; Poales; Poaceae. The transcript is spliced from 2 exons. The record is from RefSeq and is a predicted model, not a curated record.